ACUCUGUUGGCCUAAGUGGUUAUAGCAUCUGCCUCAGAUGCAGGAUGUCAUGGGUUCAAACUCUAGUUAUAGCA
Non-coding RNA from Potamilus streckersoni, 74 nucleotides. The record is from the annotation of a GenBank genome assembly. NCBI's taxonomy places the organism in Eukaryota, Metazoa, Mollusca, Bivalvia, Unionida, Unionidae.